GACGAACGCUGGCGGCGUGCUUAACACAUGCAAGUCGAACGGAAAGGCCCUGCUUUUGUGGGGUGCUCGAGUGGCGAACGGGUGAGUAACACGUGAGUAACCUGCCCUUGACUUUGGGAUAACUUCAGGAAACUGGGGCUAAUACCGGAUAGGAGCUCCUGCUGCAUGGUGGGGGUUGGAAAGUUUCGGCGGUUGGGGAUAGACUCGCGGCUUAUCAGCUUGUUGGUGGGGUAGUGGCUUACCAAGGCUUUGACGGGUAGCCGGCCUGAGAGGGUGACCGGGCACAUUGGGACUGAGGUACGGCCCAGAAUCCAACGGGAGGCAACAGUGGAGAGUAUGGCAGAAUGGGCGGAAGCCUGAUGCAGCAACGCCGCGUGCGGGAUGACGGCCUUCGGGUUGUAAACCGCUUUCGCCUGUGACGAAGCGUGAGUGACGGUAAUGGGUAAGGAAGCACCGGCUAACUACGUG
This 468-nucleotide ribosomal RNA is filed under the name uncultured bacterium. RNAcentral describes it as "partial 16S ribosomal RNA". It matches the Rfam family "Bacterial small subunit ribosomal RNA", at positions 28 to 507 of the family's 1533-position model. The record is from RNAcentral.